Molecule: non-coding RNA, 133 nt
Organism: Punica granatum (pomegranate)
Lineage: Eukaryota; Viridiplantae; Streptophyta; Magnoliopsida; Myrtales; Lythraceae
Source: Rfam
UUAGCGAUUGGGGGGACAGGUGAGAUUGUCCCUCGCAAUGAGGAAGAACGGCGAGGCAAAUCGACAAAGGCCGAGAUAUCGUUUCAUUCGCCAUUUUCUAUGGAUUGGCGAUAUGAUUGUUGCUCGUCUAUAU